GACGAACGCUGGCGGCGUGCUUAACACAUGCAAGUCGAACGGAAAGACCCUGCUUUUGUGGGGUGCUCGAGUGGCGAACGGGUGAGUAACACGUGAGUAACCUGCCCUUGACUUUGGGAUAACUUCAGGAAACUGGGGCUAAUACCGGAUAGGAGCUCCUGCUGCAUGGUGGGGGUUGGAAAGUUUCGGCGGUUGGGGAUGGACUCGCGGCUUAUCAGCUUGUUGGUGGGGUAGUGGCUUACCAAGGCUUUGACGGGUAGCCGGCCUGAGAGGGUGACCGGCCACAUUGGGACUGAGAUACGGACCAGACUCCUACGGGAGGCAGCAGUGGGGAAUAUUGCACAAUGGGCGGAAGCCUGAUGCAGAAACGCCGCGUGCGGGAUGACGGCCUUCGGGUUGUAAACCGCUUUCGCCUGUGACGAAGCGUGAGUGACGGUAAUGGGUAAAGAAGCACCGGCUAACUACGUG
RNAcentral lists this ribosomal RNA (468 nucleotides) under uncultured bacterium. RNAcentral's name for it is "partial 16S ribosomal RNA". It matches the Rfam family "Bacterial small subunit ribosomal RNA", at positions 28 to 507 of the family's 1533-position model. The record is from RNAcentral.